GAUGAACGCUGGCGGCGUGCCUAAUACAUGCAAGUCGAGCGAACAGAUAAGGAGCUUGCUCCUUUGACGUUAGCGGCGGACGGGUGAGUAACACGUGGGUAACCUACCUAUAAGACUGAGAUAACUUCGGGAAACCGGAGCUAAUACCGGAUAACAUUUGGAACCGCAUGGUUCUAAAGUGAAAGAUGGUUUUGCUAUCACUUAUAGAUGGACCCGCGCCGUAUUAGCUAGUUGGUAAGGUAACGGCUUACCAAGGCAACGAUACGUAGCCGACCUGAGAGGGUGAUCGGCCACACUGGAACUGAGACACGGUCCAGACUCCUACGGGAGGCAGCAGUAGGGAAUCUUCCGCAAUGGGCGAAAGCCUGACGGAGCAACGCCGCGUGAGUGAUGAAGGGUUUCGGCUCGUAAAACUCUGUUAUUAGGGAAGAACAAACGUGUAAGUAACUGUGCACGUCUUGACGGUACCUAAUCAGAAAGCCACGGCUAACUACGUG
This 497-nucleotide ribosomal RNA is filed under the name uncultured bacterium. RNAcentral describes it as "partial 16S ribosomal RNA". It matches the Rfam family "Bacterial small subunit ribosomal RNA", at positions 28 to 507 of the family's 1533-position model. The record is from RNAcentral.